RNAcentral lists this ribosomal RNA (404 nucleotides) under uncultured bacterium. RNAcentral's name for it is "partial 16S ribosomal RNA". It matches the Rfam family "Bacterial small subunit ribosomal RNA", at positions 29 to 525 of the family's 1533-position model. The record is from RNAcentral.
AUUGAACGCUGGCGGCAGGCUUAACACAUGCAAGUCGAACGAGUGGCGGACGGGUGAGUAAUGCUUGGGAAUCUGGCUUAUGGAGGGGGAUAACUACGGGAAACUGUAGCUAACACCGCGUACCAUAGGAUGCGCCCACGUGGGAUUAGGUAGUUGGUGAGGAAAAGGCUCACAAAGCAGACGAUCUCUAGCUGGUCCGAGAGGAGGACGCGCCAUACUGGGACUGAGACACGGCCCAGCAUCCUACGGGGGGCAGAAGUGGGGAAUAUGGCGAAAUGGGGGCAACCUGACGCAGACAUGGCGCUUGAAGUAAGAAGGCCUUCGGGUGGUAAAGUUCGUUCGGUAGCGAGGCGUUAACUACAGAAGAAGCACCGGCUAACUCCUUGCCAGCGGCCGCGGUAAUU